ACUCUCUUCCUCAGACCGCUCGAUUCCAUGGCUGGACCGCGUGCUCUUUGCUUUGCUUCAGCGAUGUGGAGGGGAUCUAUGGAAGCACCCCAGGGGAGAAUUGACUGACUGCAGGGAAGAAGAAGGAGUGACGCUGGCCGACUACCUACACAUGGAGAGGCCGCACAAGCUUCGGCCCGUCUAUCGCGCAUCCGAUGGUCGCGAGAAACAGAGAUGACAGCCGAUCAGGAGUGUAAAACCGACAGUUCCACGGUGAUAUCUCCAGGCGUAGAUCACCACCAUAUGAGUAAUGUAUUCAUGGAGCAGCAGCAACGGGUAGUGCUCCACCAUGCAGGACAGCUGAUAUCUUUGACCUAGGCAAGCUCCAUCAAAGGACGUGUAAACUAAUGGCAGGAGGCGAUGACAUUAGAAAAAAGGCCCAAGAUUAGAGCGACUAUUUCUCCUUAGCAGAGCGACAAUUGAGUGGACUGUGUGGCAGAAAGAAAUGGUCAUCGAGGAUGCAAUGAACACCAGCUGAUGGAUUAAUAAUUCUGAAGAUGGUCCUGAACUCAUGCAUGCACAGCUGAUGGGCUGCACGUCGACGCAUCUUACCUGCCUCCAUGGACAUGCAUUGCAACAAAGGUUCCUUGAUGCCACAUGCCAGGGUUGGCGGUUCAUCUUCAUUUUUCUUGCCCUUUUGUAAAUGAAUUCACUCAGAAAAUGGUUGAUUCUGAUGACAAGUUCUGAAAAAUGCACACAGAUGCCCUGCUCGCGCGAAA
This is a long non-coding RNA of Hordeum vulgare subsp. vulgare (domesticated barley), 758 nucleotides long. RefSeq lists it as uncharacterized. The transcript has 5 exons. The record is from RefSeq and is a predicted model, not a curated record. Lineage: Eukaryota; Viridiplantae; Streptophyta; Magnoliopsida; Poales; Poaceae.